Long non-coding RNA from Ostrinia nubilalis (European corn borer), 867 nucleotides. RefSeq lists it as uncharacterized. NCBI's taxonomy places the organism in Eukaryota, Metazoa, Arthropoda, Insecta, Lepidoptera, Crambidae. The transcript is spliced from 4 exons. The record is from RefSeq and is a predicted model, not a curated record.
AUGCCCUUUUAAGCCAGUCUUUGAAGUCCGUUGAACUUUUGUUUGAAUUGACACCUGAUAACUGUGUUUGACACUUCACUGAUUCACUGAUUUCUUCACAGAUAUGGAUUUCAUUCUCUUCUCAAUUUCUCAAAUAGUUCCCAGAGUUGAAACCACGAAAGUAUAUAUGGGUUUGAAAAGUUUCGGAUCCUUGAGGAGUUCGUUCAACGACUGUGGUACACGUUCACAAAUAGAUUGAAGGUCAUCGAUCAUGACCAGUCUCUGGAUUCCAAAACUUCUACAUUUCAAGAUUAUGUGUUCCAUAUCGGCAAGCUCUUCAUUGCAAUAUGUACAUUCAGCGCUCGGAAUCAAGUUAAGCCUCUUCAGGUCUUGACUGAUUGCGGCUUGAUAGUCAGUGUGAGGUAACUUCAACAACAUAGAAUGGUCAACAUCAAAGCCAUUCCUUGCAGCCAGAUCAACAAUUUCAUUCCCCCUGAUGCCACUGUGCGAUGGUACCCAAAGGAAGAGCAGUGUCUUACCAACUACCCCGGGUACUCCAAUAUCACAUAAGAUGGCUAUUAAAAUUGAGGGGACCACGUUAUCGAACGCGCCCUGAACAUCAAGGAAGACACAAGCUGUAGCAGAGUGACCGUCAAGAGAAUUCCUAAGAUCUGAGACCAAUGCUGUAAAACUUUCUGCUGCACUUCGGCCUUUCCUAAAUCCGAAUUGUUCAUUUGGAGGAGAUACAGGGGAAUAUUUCUCAAAAAAAGAAGGAAUCCAUUCAUCAUUCUUCGGCAGUUUAGGAAUUGAAACACGCUUAAACCUCUUCAUAUAGUUCCAUACUGUACUAACAGGAGUAUAUCUAUUAAAAGAUUCACAUAAAGAUUU